Molecule: ribosomal RNA, 280 nt
Filed under: uncultured bacterium
Lineage: Bacteria
Description: partial 16S ribosomal RNA
Rfam family: Bacterial small subunit ribosomal RNA
Source: RNAcentral
CGGUAAUACGGAGGGUGCGAGCGUUAAUCGGAAUUACUGGGCGUAAAGCGCAUGCAGGUGGUUUGUUAAGUCAGAUGUGAAAGCCCGGGGCUCAAACCUCGGAAUUGCAUUUGAAACUAGGCAAACUAGAGUACUGUAGAGGGGGGUAGGAAUUUCAGGUGUAGCGGUGAAAUGCGUAGAGAUCUGAAGGAAUACCGGUGGCGAAGGCGGCCCCCUCGGACAGAUACUGACACUCAGAUGCGAAAGCGUGGGGAGCAAACAGGAUUAGAUACCCUGGUAG